RNAcentral lists this long non-coding RNA (5118 nucleotides) under Ooceraea biroi (clonal raider ant). Its description in RNAcentral is "uncharacterized LOC113562384". Lineage: Eukaryota; Metazoa; Arthropoda; Insecta; Hymenoptera; Formicidae. The record is from RNAcentral.
GACGACUUUUGCGAGACGAGAACGCCGGCGACCGUGAAACCGUCGCGUCGACGACGUCAACGCAUCGGGCGAUAUAAUUGUCCAUCGCGACGGUGCGAUAAAACACGCGAAAUGUUGUUUAACGCUCGGCGUAUGCGUCAGUACGCGCGUGUGCAUACGUAUAUGUGUGGAUCCAGAAGAGCCUCGUGCCCGACAAACGUAAUGUUUUCGCGUGAAAUUGGCGCAAUAUCGCCGUUCAAGUUGACGUUAACAGCGCAAACACGCGACAUUUCACGUACGUAAUUCAGUACGUAGUUAUUAUAUUUGCUGGAGUUCGCCGGCCAUAUUUAUCGACGAUUCAGUAUUCUAUUCUCGUUGUUGAUUUUGCGUGGUUUCUCUCUAAGAUCAAUAUCCAAAAUCUAAACUUGUUCUAAAAUCUAAAACUCUAAAUUCUAAAACAAAGAUCGCGUUAUUUGAAAAAUAUCUCUCUUGGAUUACCUAGCGAUUAUUAUUUAUUGAUUUAUUUUUUCGAUUGAUCGAUGCGGCUGUUAUUGGCUAUUUCUCGCCGGUAUGUUUCAUUUCGGACGCAUAUUCCAUAAACCAUAUUAACUACCUAAUUGAUUCGCAGUGAAAUUGCGUAAUUCCACUGACGUAAUGACGCUGUCAUCUUUAAAACGCGGUUGAGCCGCAAAUUCGAGUCUCCAUGCCAAUGACGGCGAUAUUGCCACCCUACGGUCCGGUUAAAAUAAUCGAACGUGAGUUGAGAACCAUCAACUAUGUAUUUUAUUAAUAAUUGCGGAAUGUCGCGAGCGUGCACGUCGUGACUCCACCGGUUGUUAAAGAGGCAAGAAGACCAGCAGAGAAGAGGCAAAGCAAGGGAAGAGCGAGAGAAAGACAAAGAGAGAGAAAGAGAGGAGGGGGCUGAGAGGGAGAGAGCUGUCACACUGUCCAUCAAGAGGGAUGUCGGGGGUGGCGAAGGAGUAAUAAUAGCGCCGAUAAUACACGACUCGGCUCUGAGGAUCUGGACGUUCGGAAUCGCCGACCAACGAGCGGGUGUCUUCGUCCUUCUUCAUUUUACAGCGAACACUUUCCUCUCUUUCUCUCUUCUCAGGUUUUCUCUUUCUCUCUCUGUCUCCCUCUCUUUCUCUCUUUCUCCGACCGUCUCCUCGAUCUCCGUUCCGUCUUUUCGCUCGCUCUCGUGCGUGCAACACGUCUGAGGUGGGUGGCCUCGGAUUGAACGAACAAUAGUACACGUGUAGUCGUCAUGCCAAACUGUCGUGUUGCCUCAAACGAAACAACGAAAUACGGUUCGAUGCCUCCCGCUACCUCCUAUUCGCUGUAAGCUGAAGAUCAUUAUUUGCGAUUAGUCUAAUCAAAUGAGGUGCCUCGCGGAUUGAAUGUCUGAUGUGAAUGUUUGUCGAGUCACGCGUGAGAAACUUUCAUUCUCUCUUUAACACUUUUUUCUCACGAGAUUUAUACAACUAUAUGAAAAUUAUAAAUUAUCCGCAAAUCGUACUCUAAGUUCAUGUUCGCUUUCCUCGCUCAUCUUUUCUUGCGUCACUAUGUAACUGUGCAAGCACACGCGCGAACGAUGAUUUGCAAGUAUCAGACAAAUCAAAUUGUCAUGUUGCAUUUGCGGAAACAACAGAGCCCGUCAGCUUCAUGUGCAUGUUCCUUUCUGUCUAGCUUGUUCUUCCAACUGUUCUUCGGACAGAAAUUGUCUUGAAAUUGGAUCUUCUUCAUUCAGGAGGAAAAUGAAUGUCUUAUUAUAUAAUAUAUCGUCAUAAUCUUUAGCUCAAGUUAUGUGUCCGCUCCUUUUAGUGUAUACAAUAAUUUUUAAUAAUCCAUUUUCGUUAGAUUGACAGAAGUGUAUACAAAGAGACCUAUACAAUAUCCAUUCUCGUCAUGAAUGAUUUUAUCGAGCUCGUGGAUUCUCUACGAAGAUGCUAUAGUACGAAUCCCUAAUAUUAGUUGCACAAUGGUAUUCAUGGAGAAUAAAUUGGAUCAAUCAAAGUUCCAACGCAAUGAAGAGCACCGCUAAGGUCAUCGUAUGGUGCCACAUGCAUAUUCUUGUGAGACACAACGACGCCAGCAGAAUGCAGAGGCGGCGAACCCUAGACGACGACGACGACAACGACGAUGGGCGACGGCAACAACGAAGACAACGACGACGAAGACGACGACGACGAUCACGACGACGAUGAGGCGGUAGACGACGACGAAGACCACGUCGACGCCUCGUCCACGGCGACAGCGGCUGACGUCAAAUAUGCGAAGAGCCGAAGAACUCUCAUGCACGGUUAUGUAACCGCGCAUGAAACUAAUAUAUCAGAGUUGUCCGGCGUUUGUGGCAAACUUAGACCGCGCGUCUCGAGCCAAGCCCUCUCUUUCUCGCUUUAUCUCGGCGUUUUGAUACUUGAUGAACAAGGAAGAGUUUGACAGUUCAACAGCACUUAUUUGUGAACAUAAUAUGUUGCACGUUCGUAUACGUGACCAAUUAUCGUAUUUACGGCGUCUUUCUUUGUGAGCUUAAAUCGAUUAAGCAACGGCGUGAGAUCAAAGUGCACGCUGAAUCCUGAAUGUAAUUUAAAGAAUAAGUUAUACUUCAUAUUUUGAACUAUCUUGAACAUAUUAAUCAUCUCGUCUAGGCUUAUUGAAUCGUUCAAAAGUUACUUGUACAUAUCAGAAAUGUAGUUUCUACUUAAGUGCAUCAGCGCGUAGAAUUAUGGUCGCCAGGCGCAACGAAGAAUUGCACGAGACAUCAAUAAAUAAGACCUCUUCUCUCGCCGGCGAUUUUGACAGAAGCCCGGGGAGAAGAAGAAUUUUUUCCCGCUCAGACCGACGAAAAAGAGCGAGCAUCUGUUGCCCCCCCAAAAAGUCUUGGUCGCUCCAGACGUGGUUCUCCUCCCUCGACGUGCCAUUCCUGUACUUUUUCGUUCUUCCGCCCCGAGCCAGCCAAUAUUGUUCGCACGAAACGAUGCGUCCGCCGUUCUUUUUCUACGGCGACCGGGGUAAGAUGUUUAGUCUGACCGAGCAGCGGGUUCGCGAGACUUUGCGGAGUCAAAAAAGAAGAGAAAAGCAUAGAAUGAAAAAAAGAACAGGUACAUUGCUCAUCUAAACGGAAAUACAGUUUCUUUGAUGAAGAUAACAAUAAAAUUGCAAUUCCGAAAAUGCGAUUUACUUGACAACUUGAUUUUGCUAAAGAAUAUUAAUUGUGGGACAUUUGAGGAAGAAAGAUCUAGUUUAUCAAGCAGAAACAUAUUAACGCAGCAAUACAAACAACAGUAAAAUACUAAAUGUAUAUCCGCAGAGUAUCAAGUGUAAACCUAACUGGAUACUUAGCUGUUAUAUUAGACCUAAGAACCCGCGACGGAAAACUUUAUGUAGCCGCUAACAGGCUACGUAACGCGGCAGCCUUGCGCAUUACAUAACUCAAUAUUGUCCGCGAGGCGUUUGCGUAUUGCAGAUAGCAAGCGCAGCUCGUAAUGUCUCCCGUGACAACUUCCGCGCGUAUAUUUCGAACGGGAGAGACCGCUUUAGCUGAGCGUGCUGCAACACGCCGACGAAUUCAGAGAAGCAUACUGUCGUCGCGUGCGGCUAGAUUGGCUCUCCUUUCUCGAUUUUAGGGUGUGCCCGAUGAGGUUGCCAAUGCAUGGCUGUCGCAUAGAACGCGCUUUCUCGCAACGUGCACGCGCGCUCGAAGUUGUGCGUGCGCGUGUCACUUCCAUUGUCAGCGAGACGCACGCGUGUCAUAGGCGUGUGACAUAUUACGUGCGCAAGAUUUACCGACGACACCCACACGGCAGAUGAGUCGCAUGAUACAACCGUCAGAGAUUCCGCCGCGUUUCCGGCUCGCGUCUGCGCGAGGAGCGAGAAGGGAGGGAAAGGACGAUGAAUCCUUGUAAUUAAGAAAGAAGUUACUUGCAAAUUAGUUUCUGCGAUUUUCUCUUUUUCAGAGAAUUUCAAGCAAAUGUCCAAAAAGUGACCGAAAAGAUCUAGUAAGCGGCAGCAAUUAGUAUCUUUAAUAAUUAAAAUAAUAAUAAUUUUUAAUAAUUUAAUAAUUUGUCCCUUUGAGAAUCGUAUUAUACGAUAUACUGAUUGACUCUUCGCACUGAAAGGAAUCCAUGACUGAGAAUAGAGAAACCUCGGCACAGGUGCUUUGGCAAGUGGACAAUUAAACGAGCAUGUGUAAUUGCGCUAUGAGUGAAACGCACAAGAGGCGCGACUUCACGCACUUACUUGCGAAGAGUGUCGGGUCGCGUCGCGUCACGUCACGUCGCAUCGGCCACUUUGUGAACACAAUGGUCCGAGAUGCAAUGCAAUUAACGUGGCAUACGGCGGUGCAACGCGGGGAAUCGUCAAAAUUAGUAAACAGCGACGAAUUCACCCACACAUGGCAGACGCGCUCAGCCGCGCGGAGCGCGCCGUCUCGAAAUAGAUUACGUUAAAUGGAUCGUGGCCGCUUGGACAAUGAGAGUGUGAAGUCAAUUAACUCCGUUAACAUUGCUGCUUGAACACCUGAAAGUGACGAUACCGAUUGCAUUCGACGGCGGAAUCAACGCAUAUUGAGCAAAUAUGUACCUUCUAAUAAGUGUACUAUAAAUAUAUUCAUAUAUGUCAUAUCGCAUAUAUAAAUAAUAUAUAUUUCACAUAUAAAAAGAUAUAUAUGCAAUAUGAUAUGAUGCAUAUUAAACGUAUUACAAAUUAUUGUUAAUUAUAAUUAUUGUACUUUGAAUAUUGAAUAUUGUAUGUAAUGAUUUCAUAAACUUCUUCCUUUCUCUCUUGUUUUUUUCUGCUAUUAAUAGAUAUCAACAGAUUAUCCGCUGAAGGAAGAAAGAUUUAACGACACACUGAAGCUAAUAGCGAAGAUCAGUGUUGCAAUAUUGGCGAGACGUUUAGCGUAAUUACUGGCUCAUCAGCGUAAUCAUGUAUUAGCAGACUGCCGCGUGAAUAUGUUAACGCGGUGAAUACAAAAAUACCCGUUAUAUAAUACGUUUCGUCGUAAAAGAAGACACCGCGUUCAAGAUGAGACAAGAAAUUAUGCAGAUUCUUUCGUUUAAAUGGAGGAACGUUAUAUCAUGAUUAAAUUUCGGCUAAUCUGUAAAAUUAUGAAUAAAACUGGUACGCUUGAAAAUGGAA